CUCUUGCAAGUGUGAGACAGGUACAUGUAAAACGUUUUGGCUUUAAGUGUAGUCUGUCAAAAGCAAACUGUAUCUGUGAUGACUACGUUAAUAGAUAGGGAUUCAUUUACUAUUUGGAACCUGAGGGAAACGCGUGCGCAAAUACAGUGUAUUUUACCUCAGUCGAUAUCAGUGUGUGAAUUAUGCAAUGAAUUUCAAAGGGAGCGAAUAUUUCUAAAAGGAAAUUCUAAAUGUAAUUUUUGCGUUGUGUUGCAACUCGAAAAUUACUUUUAGACUGUCACAGGCUUUUAGACUGUUGUGCAAUACAAGUUGUGAGUUGGCGCCACUAGCAAAGUUACCUGCAGUAGGCUACCUAAGACUUUUUAAACAAUUAACACAAAUAUUAGGAUAUAUUUGUGAUAUAAACGUUUCUAUAAUGACAACUUACUGCUGGUUCAAGUAAGGUUUUUUUAUUAUUAUUUUUUUUUUUAAUGGCUAAUAUUGUAUCCUGGUUCUUAUUAAUCCAGGAAACAUAUUUUUUAGUCCACAAAUAAAAUAACACAUUCUGUUUGUGUAUUAAGCAAAAAGAACAAAUGUCUUACACAAAUCACGGUUAUUUUAGAGAACUUAUUUGAAAUGUGUUUUCUCUCAUUUAUGAAAAAUUAAUGCACCCUUAUUGACUUUAUUUAGUAACUUUAUUUAUCGCUAAUAAUAAUCACCAAUAACUUUAAUUGCAAACAAUUUUAUAAAUUUUAUUUCUGAUAUCUUGAUCUUUAUUUGCAGUAUCUUGAUGGUAAAUUAACUAUCUAAAUUACUUAAUUUAAAAAAACAGUCUUGUUAUUGCUUCUCAAUGUCACAUCAGUGUAGAACAUCAGUAACAGCAGCACAAGCUAAUUAAUAUUCAUGAGUUUAUCUUCUCAUAUAGUGACGUAACAAGCACAUCUUGCUCUCCCCCACACUCUAAAACUCGUUCCUGCACAUACUACGUUCAGUUGCAUCUACUGAUGUGAGAAGGACAGUCUUGUAAAAUAAUGUCAUCCAAUCCAUUAUUUCUUUUCUUUCAUUGUUUCUUUUCUAAAUAUUAUUGCAACCUGUUCCCACAUUCUGUUGUUCGCAGCUGCAUGCGCACUGAAUCAAUAAUUAACCACGAGACCAGCCGCUCCCACCCCUGACAAAACCCAUUUCACAUCUCCACCGGUGAGGGCUGCCCAAGAGCGACUGCUCGCCGAAUGAAGGGAUUUCAGAUCUUGUUUUAUUUACCAAGAUAUGGAAUUCAUCACGGGCAAAAACACAUUUCCUGCUUGCACCCAUUUACUCUGCAUAUACAAUCCUAAUGUUACACAUUCAAUGGGUCUUCGGGGAGUUUUGUGUGAACGCAUUUUGCUCUCAGGUUUGUUGUGGGGAAAUAAUGGUUGUGUCAUUUUAAUAUGGUGCGGGUCUUUGUGCUGCUGUACUGGUACAAUAAAACAAAUCACAGCGUUGGAAUGGGCUAAGAAACGGCUGUGGUCUUAUCGUCUCCGCACCUGCACUUCUAAAAACCACAGCUGAGGUCCCUCACAGUGAGCUACUGACUUGACAAGAACCACUUUUGGCAUGAGAGUCCAGUAGUGCCAUAAAAAAUGAAAGACAUUUCUCACUGGAUGGCCAGGCCUCACUCUUAGGGACAGAGUACUUGAGCACUCAAACCUAGAAAACCCAAACUUUAUGCAGACUAUUUAUAUUCCUCUGUUCUUUUAAAAUGUGCUUGGCUCAGUAGCGUGAUGUUGUGCUUUUUGCUGAUUAAAUUAAAAUGAACGCAUCUGACUAAAUUAAAUGUUUUUUUUAUUAUUUUAUUAUUAGUAUUAAUUAAAUUUGGUUACAAAAUAUUUGUUAUUAAAGUAUAAUUUCAUAAAAAAUAUUAUUUUAUAUAAUUAUAUUUAAAUAUACAAUUUUACAUAUAUAAUAAUUUAAAUAUGUGACCCUGGACGACAAAACCAGUCUUAAGUGUUAAUUUUUCGAAAUUAAGAUUUAUACACCAUCUGAAAGCUGAAUAAAUAAUCUUUCCAUUGAUGUAUGGUUUGUUAGGAUUAGACAAUAUUUGACUGAGAUACAACUAUUUGAAAAUCUUGAAUCUGAGGGUGCAAAAAAAUCAAAAUAUUGAGAAAAUCACCUUUAAAGUUGUCCAAAUGAAUUCUUAGCAAUGCAUAUUACUAAUCAAAAAUUAAGUUUUGAUACAUUUACAGUAAGAAAUGUACAAAAUAUCUUCAUGGAACAUGAUCUUUACUUAAUAUCCUAAUGAUUUUUGGCGUAAAAGAAAAAUCGAUAAUUUUGACCCAUACAAUGUAUUUUUGGCUAUUGCUACAAAUAUACCCCAGCGACUUAAGACUGGUUUUGUGGUCCAGGGUCACAUAUAAUUAAAUGUGUGUGUGUGUGUGUGUGUGUAAAACAUUCACAUGCUAGUAAAAAACAUGUUUAAAACGCAAUGCUCAGCCCACAUCACAAAACACACCACAAAAUAGUUAUUGUGUUUUGUUUCCCAUUUUGCUCACUGAACCAUGUGGCACCAUGUGAGUUAUGGAAGGCAUUACCUUUCAUCUUCCUCACAACAAGACAUUAAUUCAGGUCCCUCCCACCAACAGAGAGAGAGAGAGAUAGAAAAAAAACUGCCUGUCGUUUCAUUCAUAUGCAGGCUUGAUUCAAUUAUACACAGGACCUCUCAUCACAGUACAGGCAAACUUGAGUCACUCCAUUAACCUCUGUGUGAGUUCACCAGUCUAAAGUCUAGCAACCAUUGAUGGGAACCAUCACUGAGUUCUUCACAACCUCCAAACUGAACGAGAACAAGCAGCGAUGCUCUCCACCCUUAUCUACCUUCUGAUACCACCAACCAUUCGUCACAUGGCACAUGGUAGGAGGAAAUGUGUGCUUUGACUUCACAGAUGCCUAUUUUUACUUUCAUACUGUGUGUUUAUGCAGCGCGACAGAGAAAAGGUUGGAUAGUGGAAUACUACUCUUGAUAAUAAUGGCAGAAGAGAUCAGCUCCUGGCAAUAAAAUCUUUAUAAAGGACUAAAUGUCAGCUUCUGGUCUUUGUAACAGCUGAUGCGGUAGAUAGAAGAGGAGACGAGGCCAGUCUGGAAGGAAAGCCUCAUUAUUUGUGAGGAAAAUGAGAUGAAUGUGGCACUGGUGAAUCCAUGAGCAGAUAUCGAACCUAGUGGGAGGCUCUCCUUGUGGCCAGGUCCAAACGAAGUGCAGUCACUGACGGUUGGCUGGAGGGGGACUGAGCAAUGAUACUCCAUCACCUUGUCUUUCUGAGCCCUGGGAAAAGCAUCGUCAGUAUUUCUGCACCACUCCCCUCCAUCCAUGCUGCCUUUCUCCCAGAAUUCAUGGUGCCUUACUUAGUCAGAGCAGAAGAGAGCAAGAUGAGAGAAAGGAAAAGGCUCCAUGGCAGAGCAUUUAAUGCUGAACACUGCUGUUAGAGAGAAUGCAUUAUUAAUGUGAGGGGAAACUAACGGGGACCAGCAGCUCCUCGGGGCUGUGAAGAGGACGGUUGGCGUCUCUGAGGAAGCAACACCACGCCUCAAAGGUCUUCCUCGAAAUCACAGCCCUGAAACUCCAGAUGAAGACUAGACCUUUAUUCUGUAUGCGGAGAGAGGUACAUGAACGUGUUUUUCUUUGGGGACCAUCAUCGCCAGCACUCGCCCCCUGCUGCUGAAAUCACAGGCUUUUUACUUCCAGGUCAUGGUGCCUGUAUCACUCACUCUGACCCCUCACUUCGCUGACUUUUUCUUAGCUGUCUUUUCAAAGAGAAAAAGGGGAGAGCUUUCAAGACCUCAAAUUUGCCGCUCUCUUCAUCAACACCCAGUCCCUGUGAAAUCAUCAAAAAGUAAAGACAGUUGGAAAAAAACCCUACAUCUUUCCAUACUGACUCAGGGCUCAGAGAUUCAGCAGUAACUGUCAUCCCUGGAGGAAGAGUCUUCCACUACAUAGGCACAGGGGCCAGAUGUCACCUGUCCUCCCAGGCGAGUGGAGCACUGGUGGGGCUAAGACUCAACCGAGGCAGGCUGCCCUGGUUCUCUCUCUCUGCCUGGCUGGAGACACCUGCUCCUCGCCUCACUGGUGACGGCCCCCAGUGGAGCUUUUUUCAUCUACUUUCACAUGCACAAGCAUCCUGAAGCACUGCUGGGUGUGCUAGUGGAUAUAUAGCUGGAGAAUCACCAGGAUGAAUAUGCAAAAUGUUUCAAAUCCCUGAGCUGCGGAGGAUUUUAAG
Onychostoma macrolepis is the source of this 4226-nucleotide long non-coding RNA. RefSeq lists it as uncharacterized. The transcript has 9 exons. Lineage: Eukaryota; Metazoa; Chordata; Actinopteri; Cypriniformes; Cyprinidae. The record is from RefSeq and is a predicted model, not a curated record.